This 492-nucleotide ribosomal RNA is filed under the name uncultured bacterium. Its description in RNAcentral is "partial 16S ribosomal RNA". It matches the Rfam family "Bacterial small subunit ribosomal RNA", at positions 29 to 507 of the family's 1533-position model. The record is from RNAcentral.
AGUGAACGCUGGCGGUAGGCCUAACACAUGCAAGUCGAACGGCCGCACAGUAAGCUUUUGCCCUUACGGUUGGCGACUGACGGACGGGUGAGGAAUACAUCGGAUACUACUUAUUCGUGGGGGACAACGGAGGAAAACUUACGCUAAUACCGCAUACGAUCUACGGGUUAAAUCAAUGGUUCUUCACACCUUUCCCGUCUGAAUUAGCCGGCGCCGGAUUAGCUAGUUGGCAGGGUAAAGGCCCACCAAGGCAACGAUGCGUAGCUGAGCUGAGAGGAUGAUCAGCCACACUGGAACUGAGACACGGUCCAGACUCCUACGGGAGGCAGCAGUAGGGAAUCUUGCGCAAUGGGCGAAAGCCUGACGCAGCAAUACCGCGUGAGUGAUGAAGGUCUUCGGAUCGUAAAACCCUUUUGUUGGGAAAGAACAACUGCAGGUUAAUCCCCCCAUGUCUUGACGGUACCUAAAGAGUAAGCACCGGCUAACUUCGUG